ACAACGGUUUCGGGGGCUUUGGUACAGGCAGGCCGGGGUUCCCCUCUUUACACCAGGGCGCCGUUGCAGACGGGCCUUUUUUUCAGGGGCAGCGGUACAGGCAGGCUGCUGCUCCUUCUUUACACCGGGCCAGGCGCCAUGCCGAAGCCCGCCCCUUUCGGGGACCUUGGUACAGGCAGGCCGGGGCUUCCCUCUUUUAUUC
RNAcentral lists this non-coding RNA (202 nucleotides) under Pseudomonas massiliensis. RNAcentral's name for it is "Nitrogen regulated small RNA". It matches the Rfam family "Nitrogen regulated small RNA". Rfam says of the family: Its transcription is induced during nitrogen limitation by the NtrB/C two-component system (an important regulator of nitrogen assimilation and swarming motility) together with the alternative sigma factor RpoN (a global regulator involved in nitrogen metabolism). Lineage: Bacteria; Pseudomonadati; Pseudomonadota; Gammaproteobacteria; Pseudomonadales; Pseudomonadaceae. The record is from RNAcentral.